UUAUGGCUCAGAACGAACGCUGGCGGCAGGCUUAACACAUGCAAGUUGAACGGGAUUGAUUGGUAGCUUGCUAUUAAUCAUGAGGGUAGCGCACUGGUGAGUAACACGUGGGAACGUACCUAUUGGUGGGGGACAACAGUUGGAAACGACUGCUAAUACCGCAUAAGCCCUGAGGGGGAAAGAUUUAUUGCCGAUAGAUCGGCCCGCGGAAGAUUAGGUAGUAGGUGGGGUAACGGCCUACCUAGCCGACGAUCUAUAGCUGGUCUAAGAGGACGAUCAGCCACAUUGGAACUGAGACACGGUCCAGACUCCUACGGGAGGCAGCAGUGAGGAAUAUUGGGCAAUGGAGGCAACUCUGACCCAGCCAUGCCCGCGUGAGUGAAGAAGGUUUUCGGAUUGUAAAGCUCUUUCAGAUGAGAAGAUGAUGACGGUAUCAUCAGAAGAAGCACCGGCUAACUUCGUGCCAGCCGCCGC
Molecule: ribosomal RNA, 474 nt
Filed under: uncultured bacterium
Lineage: Bacteria
Description: bacterial SSU rRNA
Rfam family: Bacterial small subunit ribosomal RNA
Source: RNAcentral